AUUUAACGCUGGCGGCAGGCUUAACACAUGCAAGUCGAGCGAGCGGCGGGCGGGUGAGUAAUGUCUGGGAAACUGCCUGAUGGAGGGGGAUACCUACUGGAAACGGUAGCUAAUAAAGCAUCCCAUCAGAUGUGCCCCGAUGGGAUGAGCUAGUAUUUGGGGUAAUGUCUCACCUAGGCGACGAUACCUAGCUGGUCUGAGAUGAUGACCAGCCAAACUGGAAAUGAGACAAGGUCCAGACUCAUACGGGAGGCAGCAGGGGUGAAUAUUGCACAAUGGGCGAAAGCCGGAUGCAGCCAUGCCGCGGGUGUGAAGAAGGCCUUCGGGUUGUAAAGCACUUUCAGCGAGGAGGCGUUACUCGCAGAAGAAGCACCGGCUAACUCCGUGCCAGCAGCCGCGGUAAUUC
This 406-nucleotide ribosomal RNA is filed under the name uncultured bacterium. RNAcentral's name for it is "partial 16S ribosomal RNA". It matches the Rfam family "Bacterial small subunit ribosomal RNA", at positions 30 to 526 of the family's 1533-position model. The record is from RNAcentral.